AGUGAACGCUGGCGGUAGGCCUAACACAUGCAAGUCGAACGGCAGCACAGUAAGAGCUUGCUCUUACGGGUGGCGAGUGGCGGACGGGUGAGGAAUACAUCGGAAUCUACUUUUUAGUGGGGGAUAACGUAGGGAAACUUACGCUAAUACCGCAUACGACCUACGGGUGAAAGCAGGGGAUCUUCGGACCUUGCGCGAUUGAAUGAGCCGAUGUCGGAUUAGGUAGUUGGCGGGGUAAAGGCCCACCAAGGCGACGAUCCGUAGCUGGUCUGAGAGGAUGAUCAGCCACACUGGAACUGAGACACGGUCCAGACUCCUACGGGAGGCAGCAGUGGGGAAUAUUGGACAAUGGGCGCAAGCCUGAUCCAGCCAUACCGCGUGGGUGAAGAAGGCCUUCGGGUUGUAAAGCCCUUUUGUUGGGAAAGAAAAGCAGCAGGUUAAUACCCCGCUGUUCUGACGGUACCCAAAGAAUAAGCACCGGCUAACUUCGUG
RNAcentral lists this ribosomal RNA (492 nucleotides) under uncultured bacterium. RNAcentral's name for it is "partial 16S ribosomal RNA". It matches the Rfam family "Bacterial small subunit ribosomal RNA", at positions 29 to 507 of the family's 1533-position model. The record is from RNAcentral.